CUCGUAGGCGGCCAACUAAGUCCGACGUGAAAUCCCAAGGCUCAACCUUGGAACUGCGUCGGAUACUGGAUGGCUUGAAUCCGGGAGAGGGAUGCGGAAUUCCAGGUGUAGCGGUGAAAUGCGUAGAUAUCUGGAGGAACACCGGUGGCGAAGGCGGCAUCCUGGACCGGUAUUGACGCUGAGGCGCGAAAGCCAGGGGAGCAAACG
This 207-nucleotide ribosomal RNA is filed under the name uncultured bacterium. Its description in RNAcentral is "partial 16S ribosomal RNA". It matches the Rfam family "Bacterial small subunit ribosomal RNA", at positions 568 to 774 of the family's 1533-position model. The record is from RNAcentral.